Molecule: long non-coding RNA, 875 nt
Filed under: Homo sapiens (human)
Lineage: Eukaryota; Metazoa; Chordata; Mammalia; Primates; Hominidae
Description: HSALNT0335821
Source: RNAcentral
GCGCGCGUGACCAAAAACGGCUCUCAGCGGGUCCCAGCUGACGGAAGGUGGGGGAGGAGUGCGAGGGUCUCUGAGACAGGUUGGGAGCCAGCCCCACCUCCAUUUCCAAAGCGGGGGUCCAGGCACAGGAACAGCCAAACGCCCGAACCAGCGGGGUUACCUUUGCCACUUCAUCCAAUCCGAGCAUCGGCUGGAAACUGGGAAGUUUGUCAGACAAAGCUCUUCAGGUUACUGGCAAUUUAUGUGCUGGGAGGUGGAUUUGUGGGCAGAGCUCCGGCUGACCUGGUGUUGUCCUGCUAUGGCUACAGACUUCUGACUAUGCUUAUCAGAAAAACUUUCAUUUGGUUCAAGGAUUUUUGCUGACAAGUUUAUUUAAUCCCUGAACCUGGAUCCAAGGCAUCUCCCUGUAGAAAACAUCAGACCGGGGCAGAGAUUGACAAAGCAACCCAAAGCAGCAGCUGCCAACGGCCGCUGUGCCCACCUCAUCAGCAGCUAAAGAGUAUAAUUUUAAAAAAAGUCACAGAAGAAUGUGGAGACACUUAGCAAAACGGACUCUCAUAAGGAACUUCCAUUUUCUCAACAACUGCUCUUCCAAGAUGCUGCCUCAUUUCAGAGCCAUGUUUUACUCAUGAGCUGGUCCUGUCCAGAAAACAGCCAAUGCUCAUUCCCGACACUUUCUUGUCACUGCUCUUUUCUGUUCCCUAUUUUGUCAGUAAGGAAGUAAACAACCGCUAAAACAACCCUCUAACAACAGAAGACCCUCAUGAGAACACCAGGCAGCAGAAGCUUCUUUAGCAGUAAAAGAUAUCUGGAUAUUCAUAUUUUGUUCCAUGAUCUUCAACAUUAAAUAAAUAAACUUAAUAUUCAAGUCUCCU